RNAcentral lists this ribosomal RNA (301 nucleotides) under uncultured bacterium. Its description in RNAcentral is "partial 16S ribosomal RNA". It matches the Rfam family "Bacterial small subunit ribosomal RNA", at positions 509 to 807 of the family's 1533-position model. The record is from RNAcentral.
CAGUCGCCACGGUAAUACGUAGGGUGCGAGCGUUAAUCGGGAUUACUGGGCGUAAAGCGUGCGCAGGCGGUUCGUUAAGACAGAUGUGAAAUCCCCGGGCUUAACCUGGGAACUGCAUUUGUGACUGGCGAGCUAGAGUAUGGCAGAGGGGGGUAGAAUUCCACGUGUAGCAGUGAAAUGCGUAGAGAUGUGGAGGAAUACCGAUGGCGAAGGCAGCCCCCUGGGCCAAUACUGACGCUCAUGCACGAAAGCGUGGGGAGCAAACAGGAUUAGAUACCCGCGUAGUCCCUGUCUCUUAUAC